GGUCUUAUAGUGUAAUGGUCAGCACGUCGGAUUCUGAAGCUCCUGCUUUCCGGAGAUUCCAGUUCAAUCCUGGAUAAGACCU
Aulographum hederae CBS 113979 is the source of this 82-nucleotide non-coding RNA. NCBI's taxonomy places the organism in Eukaryota, Fungi, Ascomycota, Dothideomycetes, Aulographales, Aulographaceae. The record is from the annotation of a GenBank genome assembly.